This 495-nucleotide ribosomal RNA is filed under the name Panurgica sp. MN470. Its description in RNAcentral is "partial 16S ribosomal RNA". It matches the Rfam family "Bacterial large subunit ribosomal RNA", at positions 1853 to 2601 of the family's 2925-position model. Lineage: Eukaryota; Metazoa; Arthropoda; Insecta; Mantodea; Hymenopodidae. The record is from RNAcentral.
UCUAACCUGCCCACUGAAUUUUAAUUUGAAGGGCCGCGGUAUUUUGACUGUGCGAAGGUAGCAUAAUAAUUAGUCUUUUAAUUAAAGGCUUGUAUGAAUGGUUGAAUGAGGUGAAUACUGUUUUAUAUUAAUUUUGUUGAAUUUAGAUUUUAAGUAAAAAGACUUAAAUAUUAUUAAGGGACGAGAAGACCCUAUAGAGUUUAAUAAAUAAAAUAAUUAAUUAAGUUAUGUAAGAAAUUUUUAAUUAUUAAUAAUAUUUAUUUAAUUGGGGUGAUUUAAAGAUAUAUUUAACUCUUUUUAAUUAUAAAUAUUAUAAUUAGUUUUGUGAUCCAUAAAUAAUGAUUAAAAGAUUAAAUUACCUUAGGGAUAACAGCAUAAUUUCUUUUGAGAGUUCAUAUCGAAAGAGAAGAUUGUGACCUCGAUGUUGGAUUAAGAUAAAUUUUAGGUGUAGAUGUUUAAGUAAAUUAGGUCUGUUCGACCUUUAAAAUCUUACAU